This 620-nucleotide long non-coding RNA is filed under the name Haliotis rubra (blacklip abalone). RNAcentral describes it as "uncharacterized LOC124270437". The record is from RNAcentral. Lineage: Eukaryota; Metazoa; Mollusca; Gastropoda; Lepetellida; Haliotidae.
CCUUUUAUUUCAUUUCAUUUUGCGCCGUUGCCUGAUGUUUUGCGCUUAUUUUUCACUGUAUGGAGCAUGUAAUCACUUCCAAACUCUAGAAAUGCACACGUCCACUCCAUCCACAUUGUACUCCGUCCAUACCCACCUCCGCCACGUUCGUCAAAGUGAUUUUUUUCCACUUUCAGCUAUUUUCUGUCUCCGUAUCCAAGGACGUCGGCCAUGAUGUCGCAAGCCGGAAAUUACGUUGUAGACAAUCACAUCCACACAACAACAUUCGGCCCUGUCAAAACCACACGUCUUAAACGCCUGCUAACCCUUGAAAAGUGUUUUCAAGCUGUAAACAAGUAUGGCCGGGCUAUUUUCUGUCUCCGUAUCCAAGGACGUCGGCCAUGAUGUCGCAAGCCGGAAAUUACGUUGUAGACAAUCACAUCCACACAACAACAUUCGGCCCUGUCAAAACCACACGUCUUAAACGCCUGCUAACCCUUGAAAAGUGUUUUCAAGCUGUAAACAAGUAUGGCCGGGCUAUUUUCUGUCUCCGUAUCCAAGGACGUCGGCCAUGAUGUCGCAAGCCGGAAAUUACGUUGUAGACAAUCACAUCCACACAACAACAUUCGGCCCUGUCAAAA